UUCUCUUUUCUGUCUGAUUCUGUUUUGGUUUUAUUUGCUUUACUACACAUUCUUUACCAUUAUUUUCAGAUUUAUAUUUCUUCGUUUAUUCUAAAAGCAAGUAAUUUCGCAUUUUUUACAUUUACGCGUUACUAACAACAUAUUCAGAUCUUCAUUUAUCAACUCUAACACAAUAUUCUAACUAAAGUGAAAUAUUUUUUUACAAUAAUGUAUAAAAAAAAGUCGCGAUCUCCAAACAUUCAAUUCAAAACGAAUUAGCAUGGAAAACUGUGGACAAUGAAGCUGUCGCAAUUUAAUUUUUCGAACCAGUAUAAGUAGCUAAAAAUUUCUUACAACUUCUUUCGCUGCAACAAAAUAUCUAUAUUAUAAUAUAUAAAUAUGAAAUGCGCGCUUAAAUAAACAUCAUUUUACGCGCAUCAGGUGUCGUUGUCACACUCGGUCGUUUGGAUUGGGAUCUGCAAGGGUGUGCGCACGAUCUUCUGGCCACUUAUUAUACCCGGUUGUGUUCCAUUGAAACGUUUACCAGCAUCUUCCGGUUUGACACUGCUCAUUUCUGGCUUGUUUACGAUCGCCUGGUGACUAAUUGUGGGUCUUAUACGUGAUCGUUUCAACUACUCGUUCACCCUGCAUUUCCUCAACAUGUUGUCGUUCAUUGCUGCCAUCUCGUGGUCACUUGAGGCGUUGGUGCGUCGUUAUCGCUGUUAUGAAAAUAAUAUGAAUACCAUAUAUU
This is a long non-coding RNA of Zeugodacus cucurbitae (melon fly), 730 nucleotides long. RefSeq lists it as uncharacterized. The record is from RefSeq and is a predicted model, not a curated record. The transcript has 5 exons. NCBI's taxonomy places the organism in Eukaryota, Metazoa, Arthropoda, Insecta, Diptera, Tephritidae.